This 85-nucleotide transfer RNA is filed under the name Gongylonema pulchrum. It matches the Rfam family "tRNA". Rfam says of the family: Transfer RNA (tRNA) molecules are approximately 80 nucleotides in length. Their secondary structure includes four short double-helical elements and three loops (D, anti-codon, and T loops). Lineage: Eukaryota; Metazoa; Nematoda; Chromadorea; Rhabditida; Gongylonematidae. The record is from Rfam by way of RNAcentral.
GAACCGGUAGUGUAGUGGAUAACACGCCACAGUUCGAAGGGACUGCAAAUAGUGAAAGUCGGAGGUUCGAUUCCUUUCAGGUCCA